Varroa destructor (honeybee mite) is the source of this 478-nucleotide long non-coding RNA. RefSeq lists it as uncharacterized. The record is from RefSeq and is a predicted model, not a curated record. Lineage: Eukaryota; Metazoa; Arthropoda; Arachnida; Mesostigmata; Varroidae.
GUUUGUGAAGAUCCAAACCAAACAAUGGUGGCCAUUAGAAAUACUAUGCAUCAAAGUGGUCAACAUUCAAGCUCAGUGUUUCUAGCUUAUUAUUCCUAUACGCGUCCGUACUACUAGCCAACGCUAAUUGACAGAACUAGACGCGGCUAAAUAUGGAUUCAAACUCUAUCUAGCGUUCCGUUAGUUGUAGCAUCAUGUGGCGCGACGGACGGAGCCCCCUGUUUCUGACUGUAUUGCUUUGUGUCGUAAUGUUACAUUUUUACCCAGCAAUUUCCUUGAGCUAAUUCCCGCUUUCGCUCACAUCUAACAGAAUACUAGAGUGAUACUACGAGUCAAAUCCACCCGCGUACAUGCAUGAAAUCACCAGGCUUCCCCUUGCGAUCAUACAGGAAUAAGCAGGAGUGUAGUUCCACAGCAGACUUCGACCCAUCCAACAAUGAGACGAAGCCAUUUCGGACUGAUCUUCAAUGCGAAUAAU